RNAcentral lists this ribosomal RNA (482 nucleotides) under uncultured bacterium. RNAcentral's name for it is "partial 16S ribosomal RNA". It matches the Rfam family "Bacterial small subunit ribosomal RNA", at positions 30 to 507 of the family's 1533-position model. The record is from RNAcentral.
AUUGAACGCUGGCGGCAUGCUUUACACAUGCAAGUCGAACGGUAACAGGCCGCAAGGUGCUGACGAGUGGCGGACGGGUGAGUAAUGCAUCGGAACGUGCCCAGCCGUGGGGGUUAAAUACUCGAAAGAGUAGCUAAUACCGCAUACGAUCUAUGGAUGAAAGCGGGGGACCGUAAGGCCUCGCGCGAUUGGAGCGGCCGAUGUCAGAUUAGGUAGUUGGUGGGGUAAAGGCUCACCAAGCCAACGAUCUGUAGCUGGUCUGAGAGGACGACCAGCCACACUGGGACUGAGACACGGCCCAGACUCCUACGGGAGGCAGCAGUGGGGAAUUUUGGACAAUGGGCGCAAGCCUGAUCCAGCAAUGCCGCGUGCAGGAAGAAGGCCUUCGGGUUGUAAACUGCUUUUGUACGGAACGAAACGGCUCUGGUUAAUACCCGGGGCUAAUGACGGUACCGUAAGAAUAAGCACCGGCUAACUACGUG